This 253-nucleotide ribosomal RNA is filed under the name uncultured bacterium. RNAcentral describes it as "partial 16S ribosomal RNA". It matches the Rfam family "Bacterial small subunit ribosomal RNA", at positions 524 to 776 of the family's 1533-position model. The record is from RNAcentral.
UACGAAGGGGGCUAGCGUUGCUCGGAAUCACUGGGCGUAAAGGGUGCGUAGGCGGGUUUUUAAGUCAGAGGUGAAAUCCUGGAGCUCAACUCCAGAACUGCCUUUGAUACUGAGAAUCUUGAGUAUGGGAGAGGUGAGUGGAACUGCGAGUGUAGAGGUGAAAUUCGUAGAUAUUCGCAAGAACACCAGUGGCGAAGGCGGCUCACUGGCCCAUAACUGACGCUGAGGAGCGAAAGCAUGGGGAGCGAACAGG